Molecule: ribosomal RNA, 359 nt
Filed under: uncultured fungus
Lineage: Eukaryota; Fungi
Description: bacterial SSU rRNA
Rfam family: Eukaryotic small subunit ribosomal RNA
Source: RNAcentral
CGUUAACGAACGAGACCUUAACCUGCUAAAUAGCUAGGCUUAGCUUCGGUUAGGCCGUCAGCUUCUUAGAGGGACUAUCGGUGUUUAACCGAUGGAAGUUUGAGGCAAUAACAGGUCUGUGAUGCCCUUAGAUGUUCUGGGCUGCACGCGCGCUACACUGAUGAAGUCAGCGAGUUUUAAUUUUCCACCUUGACCGGAAGGUCUGGGUAAUCUUGUGAAACUUCAUCGUGCUGGGGAUAGAUCCUUGCAAUUAUUGAUCUUCAACGAGGAAUUCCUAGUAAGCGCACAUCAUCAGUGUGCGCUGAUUACGUCCCUGCCCUUUGUACACACCGCCCGUCGCUACUACCGAUUGAAUGGCU